UAUCUCUGUAGAGUCUGCAUAUCAAUAAGCGGAGGAAAAGAAACUAACUAAGGAUUCCCUCAGUAACGGCGAGUGAAGCGGGAAGAGCUCAAAUUUGAAAUCUUCAAGGUUCUACCUUGACGAAUUGUAGUUUAAAGAAGUGUUUUCUGUUGAAGUUUCGGUAAAAGUUCUUUGGAAUAGGACAUCAUAGAGGGUGAGAAUCCCGUAUUUGACCGUUACUUUCCAGCUGUUGUGAUACACUUUCAAAGAGUCGGAUUGUUUGGGAAUGCAGUCCAAAAUGGGUGGUAAAUUUCAUCUAAAGCUAAAUAUUGGCGAGAGACCGAUAGCGAACAAGUACCGUGAGGGAAAGAUGAAAAGAACUUUGAAAAGAGAGUUAAACAGUACGUGAAAUUGUCAAAAGGGAAGCGUUUGACACCAGUGUUGUUUUCUCGAAAAUCAAUUAAAAAUGGCUUGAUUUUGUGUUGUAUUGACCUUAAAAGCUUUCUUCACUUUUUUCAUGUCUUUUUUAAUGCACUUUUCGUUUAACAAGUCAACAUCAGUUUCUUUUGUUGUAAAAAGGUCAUUGGAAGGUGGCUUUCCUUUCGGAGAAAGUGUUUAUAGCCUUUGACUUCUGCAAUCGGAGAGACUGAGGUCUGCAGCGUAGAUCCUUCUGGAUUAGGAUUCAUUUGUGCUAAGUUACAACCGUUUAUAGACAACUUGUUGACUAUAUUCGAUCCUGUAGCUUACUCGCUUAUGUAAUUUUACCUACGCUUAGGAUGUUGAUAUGCAUGACUGAUA
Molecule: ribosomal RNA, 777 nt
Filed under: uncultured Neocallimastigales
Lineage: Eukaryota; Fungi; Neocallimastigomycota; Neocallimastigomycetes; Neocallimastigales
Description: partial large subunit ribosomal RNA
Rfam family: Eukaryotic large subunit ribosomal RNA
Source: RNAcentral